Molecule: ribosomal RNA, 465 nt
Filed under: Vreelandella stevensii
Lineage: Bacteria; Pseudomonadati; Pseudomonadota; Gammaproteobacteria; Oceanospirillales; Halomonadaceae
Description: partial 16S ribosomal RNA
Rfam family: Bacterial small subunit ribosomal RNA
Source: RNAcentral
CCUACGGGUGGCAGCAGUGGGGAAUAUUGGACAAUGGGGGCAACCCUGAUCCAGCCAUGCCGCGUGUGUGAAGAAGGCCCUCGGGUUGUAAAGCACUUUCAGUGAGGAAGAACGCCUGGUGGUUAAUACCCAUCAGGAAAGACAUCACUCACAGAAGAAGCACCGGCUAACUCCGUGCCAGCAGCCGCGGUAAUACGGAGGGUGCGAGCGUUAAUCGGAAUUACUGGGCGUAAAGCGCGCGUAGGUGGCUUGAUAAGCCGGUUGUGAAAGCCCCGGGCUCAACCUGGGAACGGCAUCCGGAACUGUCAAGCUAGAGUGCAGGAGAGGAAGGUAGAAUUCCCGGUGUAGCGGUGAAAUGCGUAGAGAUCGGGAGGAAUACCAGUGGUGAAGGCGGCCUUCUGGACUGACACUGACACUGAGGUGCGAAAGCGUGGGUAGCAAACAGGAUUAGAUACCCUGGUAGUC